RNAcentral lists this ribosomal RNA (767 nucleotides) under uncultured Lactobacillus sp. RNAcentral describes it as "bacterial SSU rRNA". It matches the Rfam family "Bacterial small subunit ribosomal RNA", at positions 49 to 776 of the family's 1533-position model. Lineage: Bacteria; Bacillati; Bacillota; Bacilli; Lactobacillales; Lactobacillaceae. The record is from RNAcentral.
UAAUACAUGCAAGUCGAGCGAGCUUGCCUAGAUGAAUUUGGUGCUUGCACCAAAUGAAACUAGAUACAAGCGAGCGGCGGACGGGUGAGUAACACGUGGGUAACCUGCCCAAGAGACUGGGAUAACACCUGGAAACAGAUGCUAAUACCGGAUAACAACACUAGACGCAUGUCUAGAGUUUAAAAGAUGGUUCUGCUAUCACUCUUGGAUGGACCUGCGGUGCAUUAGCUAGUUGGUAAGGUAACGGCUUACCAAGGCAAUGAUGCAUAGCCGAGUUGAGAGACUGAUCGGCCACAUUGGGACUGAGACACGGCCCAAACUCCUACGGGAGGCAGCAGUAGGGAAUCUUCCACAAUGGACGCAAGUCUGAUGGAGCAACGCCGCGUGAGUGAAGAAGGGUUUCGGCUCGUAAAGCUCUGUUGGUAGUGAAGAAAGAUAGAGGUAGUAACUGGCCUUUAUUUGACGGUAAUUACUUAGAAAGUCACGGCUAACUACGUGCCAGCAGCCGCGGUAAUACGUAGGUGGCAAGCGUUGUCCGGAUUUAUUGGGCGUAAAGCGAGUGCAGGCGGUUCAAUAAGUCUGAUGUGAAAGCCUUCGGCUCAACCGGAGAAUUGCAUCAGAAACUGUUGAACUUGAGUGCAGAAGAGGAGAGUGGAACUCCAUGUGUAGCGGUGGAAUGCGUAGAUAUAUGGAAGAACACCAGUGGCGAAGGCGGCUCUCUGGUCUGCAACUGACGCUGAGGCUCGAAAGCAUGGGUAGCGAACAGG